This 857-nucleotide ribosomal RNA is filed under the name bacterium NTN31. RNAcentral's name for it is "bacterial SSU rRNA". It matches the Rfam family "Bacterial small subunit ribosomal RNA", at positions 70 to 919 of the family's 1533-position model. The record is from RNAcentral.
GGAGGUAGCUUGCUACCGGACCUAGCGGCGGACGGGUGAGUAAUGCUUAGGAAUCUGCCUAUUAGUGGGGGACAACAUCUCGAAAGGGAUGCUAAUACCGCAUACGUCCUACGGGAGAAAGCAGGGGAUCUUUGGACCUUGCGCUAAUAGAUGAGCCUAAGUCGGAUUAGCUAGUUGGUGGGGUAAAGGCCUACCAAGGCGACGAUCUGUAGCGGGUCUGAGAGGAUGAUCCGCCACACUGGGACUGAGACACGGCCCAGACUCCUACGGGAGGCAGCAGUGGGGAAUAUUGGACAAUGGGGGGAACCCUGAUCCAGCCAUGCCGCGUGUGUGAAGAAGGCCUUAUGGUUGUAAAGCACUUUAAGCGAGGAGGAGGCUACUUUAUUAAUACCUAGAGAUAGUGGACGUUACUCGCAGAAUAAGCACCGGCUAACUCUUGUGCCAGCCAGCCGCGGUAAUACAGAGGGUGCGAGCGUUAAUCGGAUUUACUGGGCGUAAAGCGUGCGUAGGCGGCUUAUUAAGUCGGAUGUGAAAUCCCCGAGCUUAACUUGGGAAUUGCAUUCGAUACUGGUGAGCUAAAGUAUGGGAGAGGAUGGUAAAAUUUCCACGGUGUACGGUAAAAUGCGUAAAGAUCUGGAGGAAUAACGAUUGCGAAGGGCAGCCCAUCUGGCCUAAUAACUGACGCUUAGUACCAAAGCAUGGGGGAGACAAACAGGANUAAAUNACCUGGUAUAUCCAUGUCCNUAAACAAUUUNUACUAACCCUUGGGGCCNUUUGUGGGCUUUUGCGCCCCUCACCCCAUAAUAUACCCCCCUGGGGGGAUCGUGCCAAACAAACCUCACAAUAUNUUAUAGGGC